GUCUUGUACAGAAAUAAACCCUUCUCCAGGAUUUAACAAAGCUCUCACAGUACUUUAAUCAUUCUCUACGGAGUUAAAAGUUGUUGAACAGCUUACAGACCAGUUUUGUAAUGAUACUGAUAUACUCCUAGAAGAAAAGACUAAAGAACUACUAAGAAAGUGAAAGCUUAUUUAUUCCUGAAGAAAAAUGAAAUGGUGAUCCUGUUAUGAGAUGUCUCUUUUAUCAAUGAAAGCUGUAAAUAGAUUGGCAUCGUUCUGAAAA
Orbicella faveolata is the source of this 262-nucleotide long non-coding RNA. The record is from RefSeq and is a predicted model, not a curated record. NCBI's taxonomy places the organism in Eukaryota, Metazoa, Cnidaria, Anthozoa, Scleractinia, Merulinidae.